AUCGUGCGGGGAGCUUUUUCGCGCUUCUCAGUCCCUUCCCGUAAAAACCUGCGAGCCCUUUCUCACGCCGGACGACUCGGCGGAGCGCGCAGACCGGAUCACACGAUGACCGGUGAAGGGAUGCGGCGGCCCGACAGCGAGCUGGUCUGUCGGGUCCGCGGCCCCGGCGACCCUGGCUGGGGCCGGUCCUGUCACCCUACGUCCCAGGGCCGAGCACGGACCGAGACGCAGAACGUUGCUGGAGAGGACACCGCUGCGGGUCAGCGCGGUUAUCGAAGGCGUCGUGGUUGGAGGAGGUGGUUGGCGAGCCGUGAAAUUGGAUAACUUUGAGGAAAGGAAGAGAUCAUUUCCUAACCUGAGCCGAAGUGCAAAAACACAUGGUCGAGACACCCCGGCUGCUGAGAGUGCAGAAGACCAAUCUAAAUGCAAUGUAGUGUUUUAAUGCACGGGCAAGGAAAGCCAGAGGAGAGGAUCUUAAAGUCCACCGGGACGCAAGGAGACUUCAAGCUUGCAGGUUAUCCAGUCAAGGACCGGAGUGGCGAGGCAAUGGCUGAAAGAUGAGCCUACAGUUCCCUCAAGCAUGAACGAGGAAGGGGUGCAAUCUACAUGGGGCAGAAGUGUUUUCUAAAUUCCUCUGAAGUCCAGAUUGAAGUUUUUGGUAACUCAUCUGCAUUGUGUGCUUAGAGUGAAGGCUGAGGCUGUAACUAUCUCAGCAAUAUGACUCAGGCAGGCUGAAUGCAGUGUAAGCAGAAGGUUUCGGCAUCUUUCGCUUUUACGUUCUCUCUCACCCCCUCCCCAAAGACUCUAGAGGAAGGUUGUUAUGGGUUGAAUUGUGUUCCUCCAAAAAAGAUAUGUUGAAAUCCUAA
This is a long non-coding RNA of Leopardus geoffroyi (Geoffroy's cat), 866 nucleotides long. RefSeq lists it as uncharacterized. The record is from RefSeq and is a predicted model, not a curated record. Lineage: Eukaryota; Metazoa; Chordata; Mammalia; Carnivora; Felidae. The transcript is spliced from 2 exons.